GGAAUAUUGGACAAUGGGCGCAAGCCUGAUCCAGCCAUGCCGCGUGUGUGAAGAAGGCCUUCGGGUUGUAAAGCACUUUCAGCGAGGAGGAAGGGUGUUGUGUUAAUAGCACAGCAUUUUGACGUUACUCGCAGAAGAAGCACCGGCUAACUCCGUGCCAGCAGCCGCGGUAAUACGGAGGGUGCGAGCGUUAAUCGGAAUUACUGGGCGUAAAGCGCAUGCAGGUGGUUUGUUAAGUCAGAUGUGAAAGCCCGGGGCUCAACCUCGGAAUAGCAUUUGAAACUGGCAGACUAGAGUACUGUAGAGGGGGGUAGAAUUUCAGGUGUAGCGGUGAAAUGCGUAGAGAUCUGAAGGAAUACCGGUGGCGAAGGCGGCCCCCUGGACAGAUACUGACACUCAGAUGCGAAAGCGUGGGGAGCAAACAGGAUUAGAAACCCCAGUAGUCC
Molecule: ribosomal RNA, 446 nt
Filed under: uncultured bacterium
Lineage: Bacteria
Description: bacterial SSU rRNA
Rfam family: Bacterial small subunit ribosomal RNA
Source: RNAcentral